CCUACGGGCGGCAGCAGUGAGGAAUAUUGGUCAAUGGGCGCGAGCCUGAACCAGCCAAGUCGCGUGAGGGAAGACGGUCCUAUGGAUUGUAAACCUCUUUUGUCGGGGAGCAAAAGACGCCACGCGUGGCGUUCCGAGAGUACCCGAAGAAAAAGCAUCGGCUAACUCCGUGCCAGCAGCCGCGGUAAUACGGAGGAUGCAAGCGUUACUCGGAAUCACUGGGCGUAAAGAGCGCGUAGGCGGGAUAGCAAGUCAGAUGUGAAAUCCUAUGGCUUAACCAUAGAACUGCAUUUGAAACUGUUAUUCUAGAGUAUGGGAGAGGUAAGUGGAAUUCCUAGUGUAGCGGUGAAAUGCGUAGAUAUUAGGAGGAACACCAGUGGCGAAGGCGGCUUACUGGACUGUAACUGACGUUGAGGCUCGAAAGCGUGGGGAGCAAACAGGAUUAGAUACCCUAGUAGUC
RNAcentral lists this ribosomal RNA (460 nucleotides) under uncultured bacterium. RNAcentral describes it as "partial 16S ribosomal RNA". It matches the Rfam family "Bacterial small subunit ribosomal RNA", at positions 338 to 795 of the family's 1533-position model. The record is from RNAcentral.